UGUGGUUUGGAAUUUGGUUAUCGCUGGUUUCAUCCACAUUAACAAAAACGCUCCUGUUCUGACUUUCUGAUAAUAAUAUGAGAGAAAGUGCUGAACUCCUCCUCUGAGCUGUUACAGGGACAGAUGUUGGCAGAUGUGUCAGUGUCAGAGUUACAGUUAGAGAGGUCAGUGAUGCAUUCUAACAGUUUUAUUUAAACCUUAAAUUUAAUCUGAUGUGUUCAGGUUUAAACUCAGGUUCAGUUAUUGAGUGAAAACACCAACAGACUCAGACAUUUAGAACAAACUAAGAGUCAGAUCAGCAGAAACAGAGAACACGGACAUGUCUGCUGUAACUGCGUCACUCUGCUCCACGCUGAUGUUUGUCCUGUUCGUCUCUGCAGACCAGAAAAACAUUGCAGCUGAGUCUGGACAGAACAUCACUCUGCCAUGUGGAGCUCCAAACAAGAUUAUAGUUGUAGAGUGGAGCAGAGCUGAACUGGGAGAUGAAAAUGUGUUCAUUUACCAGGAUGGGCGACCUCUUGACGACCAGCAUCCAUCUUUAAAAGAACCGGGUGGAUCUGCAGGACAGACAGAUGAAGGAUGGAGACGUGUCUUUGAUUCUGAAAGAUGUGACGAUUAAUGAUGCUGGAACAUACGAGUGUCGUGUCCAGAGAGAGGGAGACGGUAUAAAGCUCAUCAACAGCAUCUACCUUCAUGUUGAUCCUCCAGGUGAGUGAGUAGAGUUGAGUGUGUGUGUGAUCAGAGGUGAAGCUGCUUCCUGGUUGUUGAUGUGUGUUUCUAAAGAUGUUGUUGAUGAGACUUUGUAGAAAGCAGCUGGUCUGAGUGAUGUGAUCAGAGUGCAGUAGAUAAUGUCUGACAGCAGUUUGAAGAGGAAAUGGAUUCUGUUCUGUUCUUCACUCAUCACCUACCUGACAGCUGACACCUCACACCUGUUUCUCACCUGCAGCUCAGACAGGAGGAGACACAGAGGAUGUAGGAAACAAGGAGGAUGGACCUGGUGGACUGAUGUGCUUCUUGCUGCUGCUGUUGUUGGGUUUCCUGAUCUACAGAAAACAGAAAGAGUAACAGAGUGCACAUCAGGGUGGCUUCUCCACCAGUCAGGUUCCCCUGCUACAUGGGCAUCAACAUCCCAACCAAGGAGGAGCUCAUCGCCAACAAGCCGGAGUUUGAGGACAUUGCUGGUUAUAUUGGUAUUUAAACAUGAACUUCUACCAUUCAUUUCUUUGACAGGUCAGAACAAAAACUUGUGUUAAUGCUAAAGCUGUUUACAGGUGCUGACAGUGUCAAAUUAUUUAUAACCACCUAUGUAAUCUUGAUAUUUAAAAUGGAACAAUUUGUAUAUAUUAGUGCUAUUUAUUAAAUUUGUAAACUGUAACAUAUAGUGUAUUUUAAUAGUUGACUUUGUUGCUGUCUUGGAGCAGCUGUAAUCUCCUCAGGGAUUAAUAAAGUAUUCUGAUUGUGAAAUAACUGACUCGAGUUUGAAAGUGCAGCUGUAACGAGGACCUGUGCAGGUAAACUUAAGUGUUUUGUAGGCAGCGUGUAAUGAUGUACACGGUACCGUUUACUACAGAUAUCACAGCCACAUAAGUGUGCUAACACUCAGAAACCCAGUGGUAUUUCAUUAAAUGACUGGGGCACUGGGAAUGGUAAAUGUUUGCUGGUUCAUGAAUUUGAACUGAUUUGUGGUUUCUUGAUGUCGAAUUGAACUCAUGUAAGUUAGUUUUCAAAGCUGUAGACACACUGCUAAUACUUCCAUGGUGCUGCAGGUAUUGCUGCUGUGACUACUGUAGUAUACCUGAUAACGCAACUUUGCAGCGAAAACAAACCACGCAACGGCAAAUGCAAAAUGAAAUAUUGAAUCACGAGAUAAAACUGCAAACAUAAAUGCAAGAUUUCAAGGAAGUUCUGUCCUUGGCUUUAGACCUUCCUCUAAUUAAAAACAUUGUGGCUAAUAUUAUGGUUAAGACUUUGCUGUCUCGGGCUGAUUUGCACCUUGUGAAACCAG
This is a long non-coding RNA of Oreochromis niloticus (Nile tilapia), 2005 nucleotides long. Lineage: Eukaryota; Metazoa; Chordata; Actinopteri; Cichliformes; Cichlidae. The record is from Ensembl.